CAGGGACCGCCUCCCGCGGGGCUGAACCCUCCGCGCUGCCGCCGCCGCCGAGUGCUGGAUGCGGGCCGGAAACUGCGCGGGGCGGGCCGCAGCCGCGUGAAGGUGACGCUGUGAGUGUAAGAGGGACCUGGAGCUUGAGGGUGACGCCAGGAGUUCGGGAGACCCUGAGUGUACGACUGAGUGUGUGAGAAAGACUGUGUGUGUGUGUGUGUGUGUGUGUGAGAGAGAGAGAGAGAGAGAGAGAGAGACCCCCAGGGUCGUGUUGGCUUUGUGAGUGUGCGAGACCCUGAGAGAAGGUCUUUGAAGUGAGAAAAACCACGGGUGUGAGAGAGCCUUCGUGGGUGUGUGAGGGAGAGAUCGUGAGGGUGAGAGACUAGGAAUAAGUUGUUCCCAGAGAGAGAGAGAGAGACACCGAUUGUGAGAAACAACCUGUGCUGUGUGACACGUUGAGCGAGUAAAGGUCUGAGGGCGCAGGGACCGAAGUGUGCGAAGGCGGGAACCACGCUUCUGGGGUUGUUUCAACCCUUGCCUGGGGGUCAGGGCUUGGAGCGCUGUGAUAUUGGAGCUUGGGAACAGGAUGCUCCCGUUAUUAAUGGUUCCUCUGAGCGUCUCUAUAUCCUGUCAUCUCAUUUGACCAGCUCGUGUCAUAACUGUCAGGAGAUAUUUGUGAAACAUUUUGAAAAUUCUCCACUGAGCGCUAAGCCAACAGCCUGGUCAUCAUGUUGUGUAAUGGUCAGUAUAAAUAGGAGUCAACAUCUAGUUUAACAGAUGUCUUGGAGAACCUCUCAUGGACACUGGUCUAUGUACGUGGUGACACUGAAGGACCCCAAGGCCCCAGGCCCAACAUUAGGAAAUCUAACCCCUGUGCCCUGAAGCUGCAAGAUGUUCUCUUACACAACCCCCAUGUCAAAACCCCACCAGCUGCACGUAGCAUUUCAAGUCUUGCACAAUGCCACCACAAGAUGUUCCAUAUAGAUAACCCCGGAAGGGCCAAACUUGAGCAAACAGGGUAAAAACAGGAACUAAACAGGGUAAAAACAGGAACUAAAAGGACAGGAUGCAAUUUUAUGGUUUUUCCGAGAACUAAAGUGGGAAAACAAGUUUACCCCCCAGGUGACCUAAAGGCUGAAUUCAGAGGAACCAAUAGAAUAACUGUUACUGUGCUAAGCUAAAAACUAACCCCCUGCUCUCUAUAAAAGAUCUGUGCCCUAGAGCCCGGUGUGCCAGUUCACCGAAGCUCCGGCUGAGGUUUCGCUGAGCACCCGCAGGCGCCUGUGUAGCAAUAAAUCGCCUCUUGCUUUUGCAGCCAGUGUCUCGUGUGCUUUUCCUUGAGCAGGGAGUCGGAGGGUCUUUCAUUUUGGAGGUCCCACCGAGAUCCCCCCCUCCCCCUCCACACCCCGGUCCGAGUCCCUGCCCGAGGAACGCCCGGCAACCACUGGGAGGUAAGCUGGCCAGCUCGUGUCAUUUUGUGUUUCUUUUGUUCUCUGUUUGCAGUCUCCGAUCGUUGUCUGUCUGUGCGCAGCGUCCGUACGCGUAGUCGCUCUGUAUUCUGGGCAGCUUGAGAAGGAGUUGACGAACUCAGACUUCUCCCCUGCCACCCUGGGAGACGUCCCAGGGAUUCAGAGGGCCCAAUUUUGGGGGCCUUAAAUGUUUUCGAAGAGUACACUGUUCUUGUGGGUGACGGAGUUCCUCCUCCCCCUAAUCUGAUACUUUCGGUUUGUGCCGAAGCCGCGCAGCGUUCUUUGUGUUUUGUGUCCUGUCUGAUUUGUAUCUGUCUCCUUGCCUCUGCAUUUUCUCGUUCCACCUGAGACUAACAUGGGACAAUCUAUAACAACUCCCUUGAGUCUCGCCCUUGACCAUUGGCAGGACGUCCGAAAUCGGGCAGACAACCAGUCAAUAAAAAUAAGAAGAAAAAAUGGGUAACACUCUGUACCACGGAGUGGCCAAUAUUGGCCCACCCUCGGAGUUGAAUGGCCCCCAGGAGAGUCCCUCCAUCUCUCUCUCUAAUCUGCAAAGUCAGAGAUUGUCUUUCAGCCAGGGCCGCAUGGCCAUCCAGAUCAUGGCUUUUAACCUUUCAGGACCUCUGCGAAUCUCCUCCUGCAUGGGUGGGGUCCGUGCAGUCCGCCGGGAGGAUUCCACCCAGCGGUAUCCCGUCCCUGUUCCUCCCCUGUUCCUCCCGGCCCCUCCACCCCAGGAAGCGAAAAAGUCUUCCUGGAGUCGGGCUGCUUGGAAAUGCAGCCCAAGGCGGAUGAUAAAUUCCAUCUAAGGCUGAAUACUGAGACUAGGGAAGCAAUGUUUUCUUUCCCCCCCAUAACCGGCUUGAGUGCAAAUAGAGAUGCCUGCUGGGGAUUUAACAACUUUGACAUCUCGCUUUGACUUUUCUCAAAGCCCUGUCCUCAUUAUUAAAUUAGUGUUAAUUGGCUUUAGAGAUGGGAACCAAAUUUUCAGUCACAAAUUUUGACACUCUCAAGGGGACUUUUAAGGAGUCCCCACUCUGCUUUCUUGGGGAAGCCUAGCACUCGAAACAACUGCAAGCAGAGGAUGGACUUUUUGGGAGCUGGCUACUAGCAAGUUAGAAAAAAAAAAAAUGCCUAAUGCCUAAGGUCAAACCAAACUAGAGGAACUGAUCCUGUGGGUGAAAGAUAAGAUUAAGGGACUCCCAGCAGCUGCCAGAGCCAUUUAGCUCUGGGGAGUUCCCUGGGUCCUUAUCUACAUCUUAAGGAUUACGCCACCUCUGUUUACUUAAAAAGAAGGGACACUGAAUGCAGUAAAGCCAGUCACACUGAGACCCUUGAUUUUACACCUAUAGUUGCCCCUACAUGAAAACAUCUGGUCCACUCCUGGGAAAGUCUAUGGUGCCACUGAUGGGAGUCAUAAUUAAAUGAAAGUUCAAAACCUGGAGAGAUACUUUCUUAUCUGGUUGUCUGAUUGUUUCUUAGGGAUAAUCUAGGUUAAAUGUGUGUCUAAAAAAAAAAUAAUUUUUUAUUGUAAUAAUCUGGUAUCUAAAUGGGUUUCUAAAGCAUUGCACUAUCUUGCAGUUAAAAGUUGGGUUUAAGCAAUUGUUUAGUUUGAUUUCAGAUAGUUCAUGCUAGAAAACUUAAAUACUUGGGAUAAAAAAAUUAAAGAGUUUCAAUUUUGAACUGGGUAGCCUAAAAAGAAAUUAAAACGUUGGUCUGGCUCAUAAAAAUGACAUUAGAUAAUUAAAUAGCAAUAGUCUUAGAAAUUUUCAAAGCUUAAUUUCAGAUAUAUAUGGUAGUGUGUGAGCAAAUUUAAUGUAACUCAAUGCUACUUUAGGAACUUUAGAACAAGCAAAGUGGCUUAGAGGUACUAAAGAAAUUUCUUCUGAUGGUAGAGGUCCUAUUUCCAAUUUUAUGUGA
This 3377-nucleotide long non-coding RNA is filed under the name Marmota monax (woodchuck). Lineage: Eukaryota; Metazoa; Chordata; Mammalia; Rodentia; Sciuridae. The record is from RNAcentral.